UACGGAGGGUGCAAACGUUGCUCGGAAUCAUUGGGCGUAAAGCGCACGUAGGCGGCUCGUUAAGUCGGAUGUGAAAUCCCUGGGCUCAACCCAGGAAGUGCAUUCGAAACUGGCGAGCUUGAAUAUGGAAGAGGGUCGCGGAAUUCCCGGUGUAGAGGUGAAAUUCGUAGAUAUCGGGAGGAACACCAGUGGCGAAGGCGGCGACCUGGGCCAAUAUUGACGCUGAGGUGCGAAAGCGUGGGGAGCAAACAGG
Molecule: ribosomal RNA, 253 nt
Filed under: uncultured bacterium
Lineage: Bacteria
Description: partial 16S ribosomal RNA
Rfam family: Bacterial small subunit ribosomal RNA
Source: RNAcentral